RNAcentral lists this long non-coding RNA (33216 nucleotides) under Capsicum annuum. Its description in RNAcentral is "long non-coding RNA (CANN_LNC009040)". The record is from RNAcentral. Lineage: Eukaryota; Viridiplantae; Streptophyta; Magnoliopsida; Solanales; Solanaceae.
UUUAGCGGGAACCAAAAGUUUAAGAUCUCACACACAUAUUUGAAUUUGAAGUAGAAAAAUUCAAGAACGACCGACCACUUCAAUAACAGUAUGCUUAACAAACCCAAUAAACCUCAAACCUUAAAAUCAUCAUCUUCCUUUUAUCCUUAAACCCUAAUUCUACUCCUUAUCAAAGAACUCAAAAAAUCAAGAAUCAAUGGAAUUUCAAAAGAGAAAGUUAGCAACUUUAUCAUCAAUGAAUUCACCAGAACCAGACAAAUCACCUAAAGGCAACAUAGACACACCAAUAAUCCCAUUACUCAACACCAUCAACUCCCACUCUUCAUAUUUCACUACCAGUUCUUGUUCAGGCCGCAUCUCAAUUCUUGAACAACCCAAGAAAAAAUCCAAAGGGGGUAAAUGGGUGUUCAUAUCUCAUGAAAAAACUGAACCCCAAGUGAUCAAAUCACUCCUUUCCCCAUUGGAAUACACUCAUGAUAAUUGUAGUCUUGUGUUUAGAUUUGAGCCUUUGAUUAUUGCUGUGGAGUGUAAGGAUGUUGAGGCAGCUCAGUUUUUGGUGUCUUUAGCCAUUUUUUCAGGGUUUAGGGAGAGUGGUAUUACUAGUGUUAGUAAAAGAGUGAUUGUUGCUAUACGAUGUUCGAUACGAAUGGAAGUGCCAUUAGGUGAUAGUGAGAAGUUAAUGGUGGAUGAAAAGUAUGUGGAGUAUCUUGUUGAGUUAGCUAAUGAGAAAAUGGAGGCUAAUAGAAGAAGAACUGAGAAUUUUCUUGAUGUGUUGUUGAAAAAUGGUUUUUCGGGUUCAAAGAUUAGUAAUGGGGAGUUUUUGGAUAAUGGGAAAGUGGAUUGUGAAGCUGAAUUGUUGGAAAAUUCUUUGGUUAAUGGUGUUGAUGGAAACGGAAAUACUAAAAGGAGAGAUUUUGAUGAUUCUUGUUCGGGUACUUAUUCUCUAUCUCAGACUAAUUGAUAUAUCAGUAUAGUUUAUGGAUUUAAGCUUCUUGUUGUUAGGAUCAAUUUGAAUCGGGGGUCUAUCGGAAACAACCUCUCUACUUCUUCGGAGGUAGUGGUAUGGACUAUGGACUGCGUACAUUUUACCCUCCCCAGACCCCACGAGGUGGGAAUACACUGGGUACGUUGUUGUUGUUGGGCUCAAUAAGAUAUUCUUCAUGUAUAUUUAACGGAUAAGACAAUGUUGUUGUGAAUCUACUAUUUAUGUGUAGAUUUGAGCUGAAUCUUAUGGUGACCUGUAGGAGCCACCUUCUUCCAUCAAAAAACAUAGAUACUUCAUUUGCCUUAAUGUGCUCGUGUAGAACGGUGUGACUCCUAUGAUUAUUUAAUGUGGGGUUCUCCAAAAUAAACUAAAAUUAAGAAAAAAAAUUGCAUGCGCCCCUGCUAAACACUUGCACACACUCAUUGGAUGAUGGACCUAUAACCAUAAUCGAGUCCAUUGAAAAUAGUAUGAUUGUUUUUUGGUCUCUUCAUAAGAGUUUAUAUCUUCUUUUAUUUUGUACUCUAUGCAUCAUCAGGAUGCUUUUGGUAUUAAUACACCACUUACUUCAUCCAAAAAACUAAAGAGUGCAUCUGACAUAGGCCAUAUUUCAUUAUCUGAACCAUGGGAGUGUUGUAUGUGCAAGGUUUCAUGAUUUGGCUAGUUGUCUUAACUUGUAUGUCACUAUCAUUCUUCGACACAUAAAGGUUCGAGUAUAGAUGCUUUAUUAUUUGACUGUCGGUUCUCUAUAAGUUAAAAAAUGAAGGGAUAAGUAUAUGUAGAACCUGCUGUGUUGGUAAAAAAUUCAAUUCAACUUUAGAGGCUUGAUAUACUUCAAGAUACACAUUGUUGUUUAUGCUAAACUCAGCAUGUUGACUCCUAUAUUCUCCUUGUUUUAUUGCCCAUAGAAUUCGAAUUCGUUAUUAAUAUACCGGUGCAACUUUGGUUAGUUGCUUCAAAUGCAUAAGCGUGGUAGUACCCUGACUGCUAACGUGUGUUGGAUUGCAGGAUACAUUCCAUUGAAUGUGACAACAAGUCCUAAUAUUUAAUUCAUUGACAGGAUCAGAAGUAGCCCCUGAUGUCGACCUACCCACCGUUAGAUUGGUGAUUUCUGGUGAAUCAAUUGAGAGGCUAUUUCUCUGGGGUCACUCUGCUUCUUCAGUGGAUAACAAGAAGGUUCUCAUAUUUGGUGGCUUUGGAGGAAUUGGAAGGCAUGCACGAAGAAAUGAUUCAUUGCUUCUUGAUUUAGAAUCUGGAAGGUUGGAGGUGAUCGAUGUUUUGGAUGCCCCAUGUCCACAUCAUCCGUGAUUGGAAAGAAGGAUUGGAGGUUUCCAUUCCUCCCAAGGUGCUGAGUAUAUCAUACAUCACUGUAUGCCUUCGACACACAAAACUUUGAAUGGAGCGAAGUACAAGUUCAAGGGGAUUCGCCAUCAAUGGCCGCAUAUGGGACUCAAAUAUUUGUAUUUGGGGGAUAUGAUGGGCAUAAGGCUCUUGGGGACCUGUAUAGUUUUGACGUGAAAACAUGUAUAUGGAAGAAGGAAAAGAUGAUUGGAAGCAUAUUUCUAUCAGUUCUAUUGGUGAAGACCUGUUUGUUCGAAGUACAACAAAUAUUGUUGAUAAUGACCUAAUAAUGAUUGGUGGUGGGGCAGCCUGUUAUAAGAUUGUUUUGAACUGUCAAAUUUUCAUGCAUUUUCUACAUCAACCUCUAUAAAAUGAAUAUAAGAAUCAUAUUAAUGACACUAAAGACAUAUAAAAAGUAUGCUUAUGAAAUUGUUCUAAUUUGUGUUAUUAUAGACGUACCUUCAUAAACAUCUACAUUUUCAUCCAUAUCAUUAUUUUCUGCACUUGUAAUAAAGUAUCAUAAGUGGUGAAUUCAACAAAUUCACCUUUACUUAUUUAAACUAAAAUAAAAUCAAUUGAAAUUGAAUAUUUUUAUGUCUUAAAUUAUUUAUUAAGUAAAAAAGAUAUACCNNNNNNNNNNNNNNNNNNNNNNNNNNNNNNNNNNNNNNNNNNNNNNNNNNNNNNNNNNNNNNNNNNNNNNNNNNNNNNNNNNNNNNNNNNNNNNNNNNNNNNNNNNNNNNNNNNNNNNUAAAAGAUGAGUUCUCUCCAUUGUUGAAGAAGAUGCCACAUUUUGCAUAUCAAUAUCUUGUGUUAGAUUAUGAUAUUUUGAUUUAGCAUGAGAUGAUGAAGAAUGAUCAAUGAUCUUUAUGGAUGUAAUAUGAGAAGCAUAGGAACUUUGAUCAAGUGAUCUAAUUUGAUUUUGAAUACCCUUGACAAAAUGUCAGGCCGGUCUUCCGGUUGUAAGCCUCUACUCUUUAAGGGUCUGAUAAUUUCAGGCCACCUUGGAUUGCAAGUAAAUGUGAUAAACAAAUCCGGAUAUUCAACCCAUUUGCAGAUUGCCAUAGCAUCUUGAUAAUAUUGAAUCAUAUAUCGUGCACCCCCGGUGAAGCUGGAUGAUAGAAUUACCCUUUUACCAUGAGAAGAAGGAUCAAUCUCUCCCUGUAAAACUGCAUUUUCUAAUCCUUUGUAAAUUGCAACACACAAUUGUUUUUGAUGAGUUCUAAUAUAUUUCAACCUUGAUGAUUCAAUCAUUGUAAAAGCAUCUACCAAGAAUUGUUGAAAUAAUCUUUUUGAGUUCAUAAUUGUUGGUACUUCACCAUUUCUCUCUUGAAUUUUGUAAGAAAAGAACUCACGCAUGCUAAUGAAUUUUCUUCCUCGACUUGAUUCAUCCUUUUCAUUUAAAACAAUGUCCUCUCUAUAACCAUCUUCACCAUAUGGAAAAAGUAAUGGAUAUUGGAGUGCUAAAUAGAAAGCAUUUAACUCAUUUAUUCUUUGGAGCAAUCCAGAUUGGGUUUCAACAACAAUAUCUCUGUCACAUCGCGAUACUUCAAAAUCUCCAACCCCUAAAAAAGCGACUUCUGAAACAGUUGGCAAAUUGUAUCUUCUUCCAUCAUAGUUUCGCUUUCCCAUCAAUUUGAGUCUAACAUUGGUGUGAGAAUCUUCUUGAAAUCUAUCUCUUACCAUUCUAAAUGACUUAGUCAAGACAUUUUGAUCAUCAAGCAUUUGUUUCAAGUCUUGAACAAUUUCAAAAUGAUUUUUGUUAAUGCUAUCACCUCGAUUACAUAAGAUUGGUAAAUAAGAUUAUUUGACAUUAUUUAAUUAAUUAUACUAUUAAUAGGAUAAUAAAUAAAGAUUGAUUGAAUACUAACCUCAAUGCAUGAAUUUUAUUUUUCACUUUAUUUUCAGUAUCAUAUAUUGUAACACCCUGCAUUUCGGGCAACAAUAUAGACCAUGAUUUCGAUGUGUUGAUAAAUUCCGAAGUCAUACAUCCUAUGCCAAUACGGCAUGUUAAUUAUUUGUGUAGCAUGUGAAUCCAUUCAAGCUUGAAUUUAGACCAUAGGGGUCAUGUGACUCAAGGACGAGUUGAAAACUACUUCGAUCGAUUAAGCUUAAGUGGAUAUUAUAAUUUGUGUCAACUUGUAUCGACCAUGACUCUUUGUAUAUGUCGAAUUAGAAAUCCUACUAUGUGUAAAAUGAUAGGUUUCCGAGUUAUAUUUCCAACGAUACCAAUUUUGCUAAAAUCCAGCACCCGAGCAAGAAGUUAUGGCCUUUCAAAGUAAUGUGUCGCGUAACCAAUCGCACAUGGCCACUGGAAAGCAUAGGCGGCGCCUAUGUAAACAUAGGCGAUAUCCUAGGCGGCGCCUAUGUAAACAUAGGCGAUAUCCUAGGCGGCGCCUAUGUAAACAUAGGCGAUAUCCUAGGCGGCGCCUAUGUAAACAUAGGCGAUGGCAUAGGCGGCACCUAUGUAAAGGUUUCAAGUGACUUAAACACUCCGUUUUUAGGGCAAAAUGGUCCUUUUCCACCCUUACUUAGCCCUAAACACAAAAUUCAGUUCCAAAGACCCCAAAAUACAGCUUCAUUCAUCAAAAGUGCUCAAGGAUUCUCCUUAGGGUUUCAAAAUAAAAAAUCAAGCAACUCGAGAUUCAAUCGGGGGUUUUAGAAACUAAUUGCAUAUCUGGAAUCUCCAGAACGUAGGCUUCAAGAAGCAUCUAUAAUCUUCGCAUAUAGAGGUACGUGGGAUUAUCUCAAAAUGUUUUAUAAAUGGGGGUUUUGAAAUUACAAAUAUGAUAUGUUUUAAACGUUUUAUGAUGUUGAUUUGGUCUUUAGGCCUAAUUCCAAGGUGAUUUGAUAUAUUAUAUAUGGAUAUGCAUGUGUUUCAUAAUGAUGAUAAAUUGAGAGCAUGAUUUAAACGGAACCCCUAUCUUGAUAUGAUAUUGUUUUAAGUUUUCACAUGAUAUGAAUCAUUUGAAAUCAUCUUGAAAUGCAUGCCAUGAAAUGCCUUAAAAAUGUCAUGAUUUGGAUAUGGUUUUUGACUUUCAAAGAGAGGUUUUUUUUGUUCAUGUUGAAAUAUGUGCAUAUGAUGAUUGAAUGAAGAGAAUGAUAUGAUACUGAUGAAUUGCAAGUCGGGUAUGACGAUACCCUACAGAGUAUGACAUGUGAUUGAUUUGAACAAAGUUUGAGUGCAUUAAUUUUCAUGAAAAAGGUGGAUAUCCGAAGAAGGCGUUCGAGUGAAAGGGAUCAUCGCUGGAAAUCGUAGUUGCCGAUGCGGGUCAUAUGAUAUUGUAUCCUACAUGGAAGGAUAAUAAAAUAAUUUGGACAUCUCACAUGGGGGGAUUCCCUGCGGUGUACUCACAUGGGUGGUCUACCGACUCCAAAUCCUGGCGGCUACUUGGGUUGGAGGCUUGGCCGCCGAGCACUAGAGACGGAUUCCACAUAGCCGUGAAAUUACAAUUGUAGGGUAUUCCACCUAACUCAAUCGCAUUACAUUGGUAUUGAAAACUAUUACACUCUGCCCAUGUGUUUUCAAAUAAUUUGAUAUGAAACUACUUUAUAAUGGCUCUCACCUAUAUUGUGUAAAAAUAUUAUAUUUUUGUUUUGAUUCCUCUGCGUACCAGUACUUUUGUAUUGACCCCCUCUCCUCCCAGGUUCGGAGGCACAAUCUAGGGGUUCAGACAACCAGUAGAUUCCUUCCGACAGAUCGCAGAAUCAAGAGGUGAGCCUUCUAUAUUUCGGAAGGCCUGAUGUCUGCAGUUUAACUUAUCAUUUAUUAGUUUUGGGUCUACUGGGGGCCUUGUCCCAGUUUUCAGAUAGAUAAUUGUUUUAGUCAUGUAGUAGAGAUUUCACAGACGUUAUAAAGAUGUUGUGUUGAGAUUGUGGGACAUUAUUCCCCAUUAUUACUUUCAUAUGAUUCUUGACCAUGUUUCUGUUAUAUUGUGUACCUUCCGUAUUUCUUUUAUCAUAUUAAUUAUGUGCUUGAUUACCAGACAGCUAGGGGUGUUUCGGGCCUCAUGGUUUGGAAUACUCGUCACGGCUAGGGCUCCGGUUCGGGUCGUGACAAACUUUGUUUCAAAGCAUGAUUCAUGGUCCCAGGGUGUCUACGAAAUCGAAUCAGGUAGAGUCCUAUUUAUGGGUGUGUAGCGCACCACACUUAUAAGUAGGAGGCUGUUAGGUGUUUAGGAAAUAUUUCCCUUUUUUGUGAUUUAGUUCGUGCUUCAAAGUCUGAACUGUCCCCUAAUCAGUGAUCACUUGUAUUUCAGAAACACAGUUAUGCCUCCACGUCGUAUCAUCGAUCAGAAUGCUCAGGCAUAUGAGGCCCGUCCCACCCAUGGGAUGCAGACCCGUAAUAGAGCUCAUACUCCAGAACUUGUCCCUACUCCGCGAGUCUCUCCAGUCCCGACCAGCCCACCUCGGGCUCCGCAGACUAAUGUCAACCGUCCCCCAACUACUCAGGGAGAUAUUUCAAAUGCAGAAUUUAGACGGUCUAUUCAUAUGCUGACAUAGUUGGUAGCUAACCAGGCUCAACGAUCAGAAGAUGUUGGGGCUACAUCUGUUACAUCUGAGGCUACUAGGGGCGGACAUUUCAUGAAGAUGAACCCACCUAAGUUCACUGGCACCAAGGUGGAGGAAGAUCCACAGGAGUUCGUGGAUGAGAUGGAAAAGAUCUUUAAGGUAAUGCAUGUGGAUGAGGUUGAAGGAGUGGAACCGACAACUUAUCAGCUCAAGGAUGUUGCGAAUCAGUGGUAUGCCGACUGGAAGGAUGUAAAAGGUGAGAGUGCUGAGCCCACAGUUUGGGGCAAAUUUGUGGAAGAUUUUCUUAAUUGAUUCUUUCCUCUGGAGUUGAGGCAGGCCAAGGCGGAAGAGUUUAUGAAUCUGAAGCAGGGCAGUAUGAGUGUCCAGGAGUACACUUUGAAAUUAAAUAGACUAGCCCACUAUACACCAGAGUUGAAAAGUAAUAUGAGAGCCCGGAUGAGGAAAUUUACAUCCGGCCUUGCUGAUAACCUGGUACUUAAGUGCCAGGGCGCUAUGUUGAAUAAGAAGUUAGACUUUGCUCGGCUGAUCGUUCAUAUGCAGCAGAUAGAAGAGAAAAAAAAGAAAAUUUCAGAAACAAGAGAGAAAGACAGGUAAGCAAAGAGAUCUAGAACCGCAGAUCAGAAUCACAGCCAGCCACAAAGCGGCAACUGGGGAAAUAGAUGGCAAAAGAAGAAGUCAUGGAGUAAUGCACAGUCUGCUGCCAGCGCCUGGACCACCAGUAGACAGACAAUCUCAAAGUUUCUAGACUCAUCAUGGAUUGAGAGCCCCAGAUACUCAGCCGCAGGAAAGUGUGGCCCAACAGCGUCGUACUUAUCCAAGGUGUGAGAUUUAUGGAAGGAAUCACCCAGGGAAGUGUUUUUUUAGGGGAAAAAUUGUUAUACUUGUGGCAAGGUGGGACAUCUUCAGAGAUAUUGCCCUUCUGCUGGAGUAAAUACAAGGGGGACUAGGCCCCAAGCUGCCCCCACAGCUCUUCCUCCUAAAAGUGCCCCUUCAGCUACCGGGAGCGGUUGCAACCGGUUAUAUUCUUUGACUAACCGCCAGGAGGCGGAAGCUUCACUAGAUGUUGUCACCGGUACGUUACAAAUUUUUUCUCGUGAUGUUUAUGUAUUGCUUGAUCCCGGGUCUACUUUAUCUUAUGUGACCUCCUAUGUGGCUGUUGGUUUUGGGUUUGAGCCCGAAGUCAUUGAAGAACCCUUCACUGUUUCCACUCCUGUAGGUAAUUCUAUUGUUGCUAGAAGGGUUUAUAGAAAUUGUGUUGUGUCUAUUCUUAGGAGGGAUAUUGUGGCCGACCUUAUAGAACUUGAUAUGGUAGAUUUUGAUGACUUGAUCCAUUCGUGUUAUGCCACACUUGAUUGCAGAACCCAAAAUAUCACUUUUUUUUUCCCGAAUGAGACACCAAUUGUAUGGGUAGGGAGUUCUGUGGAACCUAGAGGUCACUUUAUUUCUUAUCUUAAAGCCCGAAAGCUUAUCUCCAAAGGCUGUAUGUACCAUCUAAUCCGAGUAAAAGAUUCAAGAGUUGAAAAUCUUUCUUUUCAGUCAGUCCCUAUAGUGAAUGAGUUUCCAGAAGUCUUUCCUAAAGAUCUCCCAGGGAUACCACCUGAUAGGGAAAUAGAUUUUGGCAUUGAUAUGUUGCCAAACACUCGUCCUAUUUCUAUUCUGCCAUAUAGAAUGGCUCCCGCGGAACUGAAAGAGUUAAUAGAGCAGCUAGCAGACCUUCUAGAUAAGGGUUUUAUUCGCCCCAGUGUGUCCCUUUGGGGUGCACCUAUACUUUUCAUGCGAAAGAAAGACGGUUCCCUUCGUAUGUGCAUAGACUAUCGUCAGCUGAAUAAGGUCACGAUUAAAAACAAGUAUCCUCUUCCUAGGAUUGAUGAUAUUUUUGACCAGCUUCAGGGUACUAAGUGUUUUUUGAAAAUAAAUCUUCAUUCGGGCUAUCAUCAAUUGAAAUUUAGGGAGUCAGACAUUCCCAAGACAGCCUUUCGAACCCGAUAUGGUCUCUACGAAUUUUUAGUCAUGUCCUUCAGGUUGACUAACGCCCCUGCAGCCUUCAUGGAUCUUAUGAAUAGAGUAUUCCGACAGUUUCUUGACUUGUUAUCUCAAAAAUCUCAUGGGCUUUAAAAAUUCAUGUUUUAAAAAUGAGGGUUUUGAAACUACGAAUAUAAUUAUGUUUUGAACGUUUCUAUAAUAUUGAAUUUGGUCUUUAGGCCUAUUUCUGAAUUAUUUGACAUAUUAUAUAUGUAUAUGCAUGUGUUUCGAAAAGGUGAUAUUUUGAGAGCAUGAAUUAUAUGAAAUCCCUCUCUUGAUGUGAAUUUGUUUUGAAUGUGUAUAUGAUGUAAAUUGUUUGAAAACAUCUUGAAAAGCAUGACAUGAAAGUUUUGAGAAUUGAUAUGAUUUUUUACUUGAAAUAAGAAGGCUAAUUGUGUUGAAAACAUGUUGAAUACAAUGGUUGAAUGAGAAGAAUGAUGUGAUAUUGAUGGCUUGCAAGUCGGGUAUGACGAUACCAGAUACCCUACAGAGUAUGACAUGUAAUUGAUUUGAACAAAGUUUGAGUGCAUUAAUUUUCAUGAGAAAUGUGGAUAUCCGAAGAAGGCGUUUGAGUGAAGGGCUCAUCGCUGGAAACCGCAGUUGCCGAUGCAGAUCAUAUGAUAUUGUAUCCUACAUUGGAGGAUAAUAAAAUAAUUGGGACAUCUCACAUGGGGGGAUUCCCUGCGGUGUACUCACAUGGGGGGUAUACCGGCUCCAAAUCCUAGCGGCUACUUGGAUUGGAGCCUUGGCCGCCGAGCACCAGAGGCAGAUUCCACAUAGCCGUGGAAUUACAAUUGUAGGGUAUUCCACCUAGCUCAAUUGCAUUACAUUGGUAUUGAAAACUAUUACAUUAUGCCCAUGUGUUUUCAAAUAAUUUGAUAUGAAACUACUUUAUAAUGUCUCUCACCUAUAUUGUGUAAAAAUAUUAUAUUUUUGUUUUGAUUUCUCUGCGUACCAGUUCUUUUGUAUUGACCCCCUCUCCUCCUAGAUUCAGAAGCACAGUCUAGGGGUCCAGACAACUAGUAGAUUCCUUCCAACAGAUCGCAGAAUCAAGUGGUGAGCCUUCUAUAUUUUGAAAGGCCUGAUGUCUACAUUUUAAUUUAUCAUUUAUUAGUUUUGGGUCUACUGGGGGCCUUGUCCCAGUUUUUAGAUUGACAAUUAUUUUAGUCAUGUAGUAGAGAUUUCGCAGACGUUAUAGUGAUGUUGUGUUGAUAUUGUGGGACAUUAUUCCCCAUUAUUACUUUUGCAUGAUUCUUGACCAUGUUUCCAUUAUAUUGUGUACCUUCCGCAUUUCUUUUAUCAUAUGAAUUGUGUGCAUGAUUACCAGACAACUAGAGGUGCUUCGGGCCUCAUGGUUCGGAAUACUUGUCACGGCCAGGGCCCCGAUUCGGGUCGUGACCUAUAUGUAUAAUUGUGUAAAUUUUGGAGUGGAUCCUUCUGGGGUAAUAAACUUCCAAUCUGAUGAUAGUUUUGUCCAGAUAGUGUAAAUAUUUUUGGUCCCCUUAUUUGAUUAAUUGAAAUAUUAACUUUUUCUCCCAUUGAUGUAAAUGAAAACAUGGAGUUAUAAGUUCUAAUAUUAUCUUUGAACUGGUUACUCUUUGGACCUGAAUAAAUAACAAUUCGUGAAUGAAGAUGUGUACUUGAUUAUAAUUAUUAUUCAAGUAUGGCAAAAAUAUUUAGUCACUUGAUCCAAAUAAUAAUUGUCUUAAAAUUGGAGGAGGUUCUUUUGGCUUUGGUAAAUUUAAUUUACCAUGAUGACAACAUAAAGAGAACUCUGAUCUUUUAGAUUUUAACUUCUUGUUGAUCCUUUCUUCAUACCAGAAGUAACCACCACAAUGUACACAUUCAAAAAUUAGAUCUCCUAUAGCCCAGUAAUCUAUAAAUCAAAUAGUCAAAUAUAAAAUUGUUUUGAACUGUCAUAUUUUCAUGACUAUCUAUUACAUAUAAAAGAUCAUAACAGAUUUUCAUACCUUCAUUGUCAAUCAAUGCAUUUUCUACAUCAACCUCUAUAAAAUGAAUAUAAGAAUCAUAUUAAUGACACUAAAGACAUAUAAAAAGUAUGCUUAUGAAAUUGUUCUAAUUUGUGUUAUUAUAGACAUACCUUCAUAAACAUCUACAUUUUCAUCCAUAUCAUUAUUUUCUGCACUUGUAAUAAAGUAUCAUAAGUGGUGAAUUCAACAAAUUCACCUUUACUUAUUUAAACUAAAAUAAAAUCAAUUGAAAUUGAAUAUUUUUAUGUCUUAAAUUAUUUAUUAAGUAAAAAAGAUAUACCUGGUACAUCAUCGUUAAUAUUGUCAGAGUCAACUUCUACUCAUACAUAAAUAAAAAAUGCACAUCAAUAUUUUUUAGUGAAUAAUGAUGUAUAUAUGGUUAAUUUAAAUACCAACCUUGUAAUAAUGGUAAUUCAUUUAAAUCUGGUAAAAGAUGAGUUCUCUCCAUUGUUGAAGAAGAUGCCACAUUUUGCAUAUCAAUAUCUUGUGUUAGAUUAUGAUAUUUUGAUUUAGCAUGAGAUGAUGAAGAAUGAUAAAUACUCUUUAUGGAUGUAAUAUGAGAAGCAUAAGAACUUUGACAAUUUGUGAAAUUUUUCUUAGUUUGCUUUCCUUUCUUUUUUCUUAAAUCAUUCCCAUUGAUAGGGGCAGAUUUAAAAAAAUCUGUAAAACAUUAACAAAAAAAUAUCUUGAUCAAAGUUAUAAAUAUGUAAAAUAAUUAUAUAAUGAACAACAACUAUUGUUUAGAAACGACAUAUCUAUAAUGUAAUUAUGUUUAUGAAUGAUAUAAUUAUAACGAAUAAGAUUUGUGAAAAAAUAAAUUGAUAAAAAGAUCAUACCACUGUUAUUAGAGGAUGUUUUAAGUCGUUUCUGAAUCCGUAUGCUUAUUCUAUUCUUUCUUGCAAGUUUCUUCUCUUUGUCCAUAUCAAUCUAAAUGGAAUCUGAAUAUGGUAUGAAAAAUUACAGAGAAAAUUUAAAAUAAUAUAGUAGUUACUAAAUAAAUAUAACAAUAAUAUGGCAAAUGACAGAUGACACUUGGGUUAAUAAGGAGAAAGUAUAUUUUUUACUAAUUAGGAGUUGGUAAAUUGUUAAAGAAAGAGAUGAUCAAUGGAUAUGUACUACUGCAAAUAUGCCACUUAGAAAUGCAAAUAUUGAAAGUUCAAUUUUAAAAGUUUAAUAUAAAACUGCACUAUUUCUGUUGUAAUGUAACUGUUUUUUUUUUCAAAACUGUUAUUUCACCACUGUACAUUUAAGUAAUUUAUUUGUUUGCUUUUAUACAAGAUAUACCUAAGUGUUCUUAUUUGUACUAUAUGUGAUCGGUUGAUACUUAUGGUGAGUAAUUUUUUAAGUUUAAUUUUGGACCAAAAAAUUUUAAUUAUGAAAUGAUACAAAAAAUUUUAAGGUUGUUGAAAGUUUUAAAAUAUAGCGAUAUAUAUAGGAAUAUUUGUACAGAUGGGUUGUCAUGCCAUGUUUUUUUUCUGCUGCAUAUUUAUCUGACAGUAUUUGAUUGCUUUUGCACUAAAUAUUUUGAAGUGCUCUUUAACAACUGCAACAGUUGUAUAGGGAAGACAAUGAGGAGUGUAUGGAUGCAAUUGUCUUUAACAAAAGUAGCAAUUGCUUUUGAAAUUUAUGUAUCUUUAGUUUAUAAAUGUUGGAAGAUAGUGAGGAGCAACAUGGCUUUAAAAUUGUCCAGAUAUGUUUCUAGAAUCUCUUCUAGGUUAUAUGUCUGCCUUAACUGGAGCGUACAUUCAAGAUAUUUGUCUGUAUCAUGGAUUCUUAUAAAAUAUUAACAGUUGCGUGCUCAAAUCGUAGAAGUAGUAUAAUUUUUGAGAAUCUGAAAAGGGUUGUGACAUAGAAAUUGAAGAGUCUGCGCCACUUAGAUCUUUAGUAAUGUGGGGUUUAUUUUGGGCUGAUAUUAGUAAGGCUGAAACCUCAUAUUGAUUUUGUCAAUAAGUAUGAGUAUGUCUUUAUCCCGAGUUAGCAUUAUGUAGUGUUCUCUCCCCUCUCUCUUGUUUGCUUUUAGAUAUUACAAUAACUCAAUAUUAAACAUUUGCAAGUAACAAAGUAACUAUAUGCAAGAGUUUAGAUAUUUCAAUUGCCCUGUACGGCUAUUAGAUGAUGACUAUUGGGAGUUGGUGUUCUUUGUUCUUGUUCAGUUUAAUUUGAUUGUACACUGAUCACUUAAACUCAUAUGCACUUCCAAUGGAUACCACAUAAGAUUCAUAAUUCUGUAAGAACAAAACUCAUUUUUGUUAAAUUGUGCAUUAUAAUGGAUAGAGCUUUGGAUAUCCUUCUAAGAGCUUAACGUUCCCUACCUUCAGGUUUGCUGUAAGGAAAGUGGUCCUUCAUUAGUGAACAGCAGAGCAGCGUAUGAAGUCAAAUACAGUGAUCCUGAAAAAGGUGAGGGUUCAUAAAUUUUUUAUUGUGUACUAUGGAAAGUCAUUAUACUUAGAGAAAUCUUUUGAAACAUCAGCUAAUUACUCCAUAUAUUUUUAUUUUGUAAAUGUCUGGAAGACAGUGAGGAGCAACAUGGCUUUAAAAUUAUCCAUAUAUGUUGCUGGAAUCUAUUCUAGGUUUUUUGUCUGCCUAAACUUCACCGUAGUGUACAUUUAAGAUUUUUGGCUAUAUUGUGGACUCUUCAAAAAUAUUAACAGGUGCGUGUUUGAAUCUCAAAAGUAGUAUAUUUUUUUGAAAAUCUGAAAAGGAUUGUGACAUCAAAAUUGAAGAGUACAUCAGACUUAGAUCUUUAUUAUUGUACCUGCGUUUCCUGUCUUUAUUAUUUUAUUUUAUCUUAUUAUCUAGAUCGUGAUGAACCUUAUUUCUUUUGGUUAACCUAUGUUAUGUACAUUAGAACAUAACUCUUGUUUUGCAGCUUUCUUGGGUGGCUGAAAGAAGUUAACAUGUCACUGUCUUGGAAGAUCUAUUCCUCUUUGCAUACAUCUUCAAAGAAGUUAACAUGUCACUGUCUUUGGUGGAUUCCUAUAGAAUUCAAAAGAAAAUAAUUUAAAAUAUAGAUGUUAGAUAAACAAUAUAUUAUUCAAAUCCUUAAAAAACAUUUAGUGACCAUAUAUAAAUAAAGAUAUUUAGAUAUGUUGUCUGUAUUAUAUAUUUAGGUAAUAUAAAGUCAUACAAUUUAAUUACCUUGUAAUCCUUCUCAGUAUAUGAUUCUUCAUAAUUGGUAAAGUGAUGGUCCUAUAACCACAAUUUAGAAAAGUAUAAGUAUAAAAAUAUAUGAAAUGAUUAGAUGUGUUUGAAGAAAGGUUACUUACACGGGAGGUAUCAGAUUCAUUAGGAGAAUAUUUCUUGAUCAAAUCUUCAUCAUCUAGAAUUUUAACAACACUGUACACCUCAUCAUGGUUCUGAAUGUUUUCGUUCUUGACAAUUACCUUAAAAAUGAAUUUUCUCUAAAGAAUAUUAUUCAGUUCCAUUGGAUAAGAAGGGUCAUCAUCAUUGCCAGUAUUCUAGGAAUAAUAUAUGUAUUAGUAAUAAAUUUAAUAGCUAACAUAAAUGAUGAAAUCUAUGUAUUAUAUAUACCUGAAGUAAUUCCUCCUUCAAGUCAUUUGCAGACUUGCCAAUUAGAGACAUGGCAUCAGUAUCCCAAAUCAUAAGUGAUAUAGAGCCAGUACUAUCCAUGAUUGCAACUUGAAUUCUAUACCUAAAUAGCUGUAUGUUUCUAUUUAAAUAUGAAAGUUUGUUAUAAAGUAUUAGUAAUUAGUGAAAAAGUUUUUAUAUUAACCUGUAGAUCACAGUGGAAUCUUCAUGAUUACAUUUUUUGUUUGUGCAAACGUAAGUGUUUUUCAUUUUUUUGUUUUUUUUCGACACUUAAUGCAUCCAGUAUAAGACCACCCAUUAGCUAGGUUUAACAAUUCAGUAGUAGCAACAAUGCAACAGUGAGAACCUUUCUGUUUAAUGAUUGAAAAGAAUAUGUCAGUGUAGGAUUAUACAAUGAUAUAGAUAUAUUUUUAAAAAAGUAGUCCUGGUAGGACUAUGAACAUGCAACAGUUUUUGUUGUUGCAUUUGUAACUAAAUUUGGGCAACAAAAAUAGAAAGGUAAUUUGUUAAGAAAAAGAGAAUGAUAAAAAAAUUGAAAAGUUUAAACAUGGAUGAAUGAAUAAUGGUUAAAAAAAAACAGAAUAUAUUGUGAUAAUAAUAUAUAACAUAAUAAAAAAGAAAAAAACUUAAAAACAGUGUUAUAAAAAUAUUAUACUCACUUCCCUAAUCUCUAACAACUUAGAAAUUGUCUUGACUUGUAAAGUGCCAUUAGAUAAAUCAUCCAGCACAGAGUUACUUUGCUGUGAAAUAGUAUGAGUUAUUCUGUCAAAGUUUCUAUCACGAAUAGAAAGUAGUCUGCAUACAUAAAAGAAAGAAAAUGUAAUACAUUAUAGGAAUAUAUUACUUUGUCUUUUGAAAAUAUAUAUAUAUAGAUGUAGAAGACGUAAAAGGAAAAUUAACCGUUGUUUAAACUCUUCAGACUGAUCAUCAGUUGGAUUAAUCCACAACUUUGAGGCAUUCCAGCAUUGCUCACGAUAUAGGAAUCUGUCGCAUAAAACAUGUAAGCGACACUGAUAUUUUUUUAUAAAAUCAAUUUCAAUACAAAUUUUACCUUGAAAUUUAUGUGCCUGAAUGAGUUGUAGAACAACAACAACAGGUUGGUUAUCAGAACGUAGAAUAGAAAGAAACAAACCACGUUCUUUGAUAUCAGAUUUGAAUUGUUUAAGAACAAAACUAUACAUAGAUGCUUGUAUCCGAUCACCCUAUUAAAAAAAAGUUAGAAUAAUGAAUCAGACAAAGAGUAAGACAGAAAUAGCAAUAUAAAUAUAGUAUAAAAUGUUGCAUACAUGUUCAUCCUGCAGAAUCAUUUCAAUUGCGUACAAAGCACCAGGAUUAAAUCGAUCUUUCACUUCCCACAGGCGAACAACCAAGACUUUUAACUUCCAGUGCAUUUUUGUGAUUGUGAUGUCGUUGAUGAAAUCUGUCAUUUUUGAUAAAGAGUAUGUAGGUAUACGUAGAUGUGGUAAAGAUUAAUAGAAUAGAAGAAGAUUGUGGUAAAGACCAACAGAAUAGAAGAAGUUUAAGAAGGAAACAAUGUUUACACGAGUGUGUAAAGGAAUCUGUGGAAUAUAUUAGAAUAUUGUAGGGAAUUUAAGAGUUGAAGAGAAUAUAUGUCGAAUUUGAAUUGUAUUUACAGAAGAAGGAAAUGAAUCUUAAGGGAAGUUUACAUAGUAGGAUAAGAAGGAUUGGUUGAGUAUUAUGUAGAAUGUAGAUAGAUGUGUACUGGAUAAAUACGAUGGUGAUAACAGAGUAGUUAUUGAAUGGUGAUAACUCUAUAAUUGUACAAAAGAUUUUACAAUUAUCUGUUAAGUUGUUGUAGUCAUUAAUUGAAAGUUAUGAACUUCUGCCACGAAAUUCAUUUUUUUAGCGUGUUUUAUUUAAGAAGUUAUAAUACUGAUUUUUUAAAUUUUAAUUUUUAAUUUUUAAUUAAGAUUUAAUAUUUGAAGGGCAGUAUGUAUUAAGAUUUAAUAUUAGAAGGACAAUAUGUACUUAUAAUAUGAAUUUUUUAAUUCAACUAAUUAACUCGUUUAUAUGUUCUAAUUAGUUAAAAGUAUAAUUUUUGGAUAAAAAUUUUAAGACAUAAUAUAAUGAUAAUUACUAACAUAUGAAUUUGUUUAUAAUUCUAUGCAGAUGGAUAUUGUAUAUAUGAUGACACAUGGUUCUAUGAGGAGGUUGCAUAAGAAUGAGAAUGUGUUUGAAGUGAUGCCAAUAUAUACUGAAUGUAUAAGCAGUUUAUGUGAUGUAAUUUGAUUUUAUUUGAGUUUUUAAUUAGUGAAUGUGAAUUUCAAGUCAGAGAUUUGUAAUAAACUGUGUAUGUUUGCACUUGUAAGUUUUUAUUGAUAAUAGUGUAGUUAUGAUCAUGAAAAAAAAAAUAGUGCAGUUACAUAAUCCAAAUUCAACAUAAAUUUUGUUAAAUAAAAAAAAUAGUAUAGGAGGUUUGCAUUUUUAAAGUGUAGUAUAUUAAUGUGUAAAGGGGUAACAAUUAUAACCAACUAACAUACAAACUUUCAAACUAAAAAUAUAAAAAUAUGAAGUAACUGAAAAUUUAAAUUUUAAAUUUAAAGAACAACUUCAAAAUUGUAAACUAACGGAAACAUUGCAAACAACAGCAACUAUUUCCUAACUAAUUAACUAUAGAUUACAUGUGUCAAUAUUUAAUUCUGCCACUUGGCUAAAUGGAGAGGCUUUGUCCUCUCCUUUUAAUAAUAUUCAGAUAUAGAUUUUUAAAAAAAUUAUGAUAACCAAUAAAUUCCACUUUAGUUAUAUAUAAUUUCUCUUGAUAUUUCUAUGAAAAUGAAAUGAGGGCCACAAAAUGAUACCUUUGACGUUGUUAGUUUUAAACCUCUAACUAACUAAUCCUAAAUAGAGACCAAGAUAAUUCUAAUUAAAAAGACUAAAUUGUCAUUGCUUUUUUAUAAUAUUACAAUAAAUAUUCUUAUUAAGCAAAAGGAAUUAAUUCAAUGUUCAAUUUAUAAGGUUAAAUUUGGUAAUUCACUAUUGAGUAGUCCAUUCACUUAUGCAUGAUUGUUUCCUAUUUAAUUGACUUAUUAUUAAACAUUAAAUCACCAACAACUUCAACAAUUUAGUGAGAGAAAAUUUCUAUAAAGAAAAAAAGAAAAAACUUUUUCAAGAUUUGUAGUUUUGAAGCCAUGAAAGGAGAAAAAGAAGGAAAAAAUCACUUUACAUUUAGAGAAUUUGGACAAAGAUGUUGCAAGAUAGUGAAGAAGCAAAAGGCAAGAUUUUAUAUUUUCAAAAAAUGUGUUGUAAUGCUCGUCUGCUGACAGGAAUCGACUGACAUGUAGUUUUUCGAGAUCAGAUCAAUCAGAAUAUUAUGAACGUCUUAAAACUUAAUAACACAAGACGAUUCAUUGAAAUGGUCGAUGUUGUUGUAUUGUAUUGUACGAGUUCAACUAUAGAAAUCUGAAACCAACAACGCGCGGUGAUAUAUACUUUCUUUUGUUUUGUGAUUUUCUUUUUAGUCUAUAUCACUAAUGCAUGUCAAAGUUAGUACGUGUAGUACUGUACACGUGCAUGCAUGCAGUUCAAUUAUAUAUGAUAUCAAAGUUAUGUAUCAAUUAAACAUAUUGUUAAAUUACAACAUUCAAUUUUUUUUGGACCCCAAAGUUUCUUCUCUUAGUGAAUGAACAGUAACAGUGAAACAGAAACGCCAAAAGGCGUCAUCUCCGACAAACCGACACCGCCGGAACCGCCCGAUCCAAUGGUCAUUGCAGUGGUGGAGCCACAGCCAACGAAGGGUGGUCAGAUGAACAUCCUUCGUCGGAAUUUUUUUUGAUUAUAUUGGUUAAAUAUAGAUAUUUAUGGUUAUAUACAUGUUGCGUUGUUGCACACCCUUGACAAGCUAGAGAAGCAUAGUCUAGUGAUCAAGAGUGUGCAAUUCUGCAUCAACAACCUGGGUUCGAACCUCGGCAGGUGUAGCAUAGCAGUGCUUUAUUUUUUUUGUUUUUUAAACAGUUCUUUGCCCAAGAAAAAAUAUGAACACACUUAACCAAAAGUCUGGAUCCGCCACUUGGGUCAUUGAAACCCCCAAUGCGAACGACCAGCAAAGCUUCAAAGCAAACUGCUCGUACUAAUUGGCAACACUCAGUCAUAGUGAAAUUGGUGAACAAAAGGCUAACACUAGGGGUGGGCGUUCGGUCGGUUCGUUCUGAUUGAUUAAUAUCGGUUCAGUUUAUCGGUUUUCGGAUAGACAAAAAUGACAUGCAUAACCAAACCUAAAUAAAUUCGGUUUGGUUGGAUUUUUACAAAUUCGGUUCGGUUAUUUCGGUUUGAAAUAUUAAAGUAGUUAGCCUCUCUUUUUCAUAACUGAGCAUUUAAAAUUGAUGAAUGUUUUUAGAAAAAUUAUUUUUUUCAAACCUGUUUUUCAUUCCCAACUAUAAAUAAUUAUAAAUAACUCAACAUGGAUAAAACGAAAUGAAAUAAUCAUGAGCUUAACAUAAUACAUAACGUCAUUAAUCAUUACAUAUAAUAUAACCUUGCAUAAAUAGUCUACAAAACUCAAAACUCGUAAAAAUAGUCCAUGAAACAACAUACUUUCUGCAUAAAUAGUCCAUAAAACGGUCCAAAGUCACCAAAAUAGUCCAUAAAAUAUUUGAGUCAUUAAAACAAUCCAUAAACAGCCUGCGGCGUAUGCGAAUUUGUUGUUAAAUAUUAAUUGUGAAUGUGAAUUACUAAAUAUUAUAUAUAUAACAUAAUAUUAUAUUAUAUUAUAUAUAUAAUAUAAUAUUAUAUAUUAUAUAGAUAUAUAUUAUAUAUAAUAAAAUAUAUAUAUUAUUUAUUUAUUUAUAAAAUUUUGGUUUUUCAGUUUAAGCCGAUUUUUUUUUAAAACCGAAAAUCGAAAACCGAACCAAAAAACUGAAAUUCUGAAAUUACAAAUCGAAUCCGAUCCGAAAAACCGAAACCAAAAUUAAAUUUCAGUUUGGUUUUUCGGUUUUUUCGGUUUAAACCAAAAUAUGCCCACCCCUAGCUAACACACAACUAUUUGAAAAUCAAGCUAGCUGAUCUCUAGAAACCGACGGAACCACUUACAUUGAUCGAUCUGGGAUGAGACUUCUAUAUGGCCAAAUUCCACAACCCAGAAAAUGCAUUAAAGGCGCUCCAUGGCGGACCAUGAUUCAUUACCGACAACUUUCUAUUAGUGAGACAAUGGGAACCGAACUUCGUCCCAGAAGAAGCAACCCAAACUCACACAGCCAUCUGGUUGCGACUCCCACAACUACCAACGGAGUUCUACGACCAAAGUGUUUUGGACAGAAUAGGAUCGAAGAUUGGAACGUUGUUAAAAAUCGACUCCUGUACUUCAUCCACACUGAGAGGUCGAUAUGCAAGAAUCUGCAUCCAGGUUCCUCUUAGAAUCCCCCUAAAAAAGCAGAUUACCAUAUGCAACCACAACCAAAAGGUUAUCUACGAAGGGGAAGACCUCCUUUGCUCUAUUUGUGGGAGACUUGGACAUCCGGCAAAGCAUUGCAGCUACAACACCAACACCACAGCCAUAGAGACAGAGAAGCCAAGCACUAGCAAGGUUCAAGAGCAGAGAGAACAACAGGAAUGUCAUAUUGUUUCCUUCCCUAAAAGAAAAUAUGGACCAAAUUGAAGGGCAUCCAACAACACCAACAAGACCCACUGGUUGCUGAACAACACCAGGUAAAAGAGACGGAGAACGCCCCAGGUAAGUCUUCUCAACCUGCACAGCAUCCUUCUAAGGCCUAAAACGAAACUUCUUGCUCAGUAAAAACCACUAUUCCCACAAAGCUUUAUUCAACACCUGGGAAAAAUGGAAAAACUAUGAAGGCACCCCAGUCUUCUUUCACACCUGCAAAGGCUGUUGAAAACAACCUUUUUCCUAAAGUCAAUCCGACGCAACACACACAUGCACCAGUAGUUAAUAAUCCUAACUGCCCUAUACCAUCCAUUAAUUUAAAUAAAACAUCCUCCUCAACUAAUAAAAUCGAUGGCCCACCAAGGCCCCGCUUUUCACCAACAUUAACUCUUCUUCAAUGGAGGCUAUCAUCUUCUAGGACGAUAACUAAAGUCUCAAAUAGGGGUAAUCAUCAUGUAGAGUCGAUUGACAUGACCGAUACGGUCAUGUCCAUUAACUCAACAACCUCUUUUAGUUCUAACAAAAGCCCCAAUGAACCCAUUAACAUCCAAAGUCAGCUAAAGAAUUCGAGUAACAACAAUCGCUUCCCAACCACCACUGAAGGAACCCAUCGUAUUUGUCUCAGCACCUUACCAUCCCAAUAGAAUCCCAACUUCUUGGGCGAAAAUGGCGAUAAAGGAGAAAACCAUAUCAUAUUGUGUCAUAAUGAGGGACCAGCCCAUCGUACUAAUGAUCCAAGACCCAACUUGGAUGGCCUAAAUAAUCAAGGAGGGAGUGAAUCACAUAGUACAGGGACUGGGCUAUCAGGUAUGGAUACAAACAAUGUUGUAAGCCCAAAGACUAGGCACACUCAAUGUCAUGAACACACACGAGUUCAACUCCCUGAUGACUUACAUGUUCAAGCACCUACCUUACUACCCAGAGAGUCCUUAUCUUUCGAAUUUGGACACCUUGACGUUUGUACCUUGGACAUUACCAGGCUCCAAUGUCCCGACCAACCAAACCAACUUUCAGAACAGAGAAGGGACAGUCGUGGUAGGAGACCAAGAAGGAAUACAACAAACAGUGCUAGAAGAACUCCAGAGGUCCAAUGCAGAAAUGGAACAACUCUUAGAAACCUUAGGGGGACCAAAUAUGGAAUUCUUUAUGCUAGAAAAAACUCUUCAGAAAGAGUUCGUAGAGCCCUUCAGCACAGUUAUUAUAGUGUCCUAUCCGAAGAAAAUGACAACAUUCAGGAUGAUCUUGAGGAAUAUGACCAACCAAGACAAUGUAGCAGUCUCUCUAAGCCCAUAUUUAGACAAGGAACAACAAACCAAAAUGGACAAGGGGAAGAGACUAAUCCUGAACCACCCACCCCUUCCAUCUGAAACCAUGAAUUUCAUUAUCUGGAAUACCAGGGAAGAAAAUAACCCCACCUUUAAAUGGCAUUGUGCUGCUCUUGUUAAGGCGCAUAACCCCACUGUGGUUGUCCUUCUGGAAACUAAAAUGGUAGACCAUACCAAUCUCACUGAGAUGCUUGGUCAUGACUCUCACAUGGAGUCAAGUGCUGAUGGUAGAAAGGGAGAAAUUGUGAUUAUGUAGAAGGAGAAUGCUAUUAAUCUUCAAAACUUCUCGAUAUCCCCCCAGGGAAUCCACACCAUCAUCAAGGUACCCUCUAAUCCAACUCCUUGGGUUUUUUAGGCUAUUUAUGCUAGUCCCGACCCUAAUCUGAGAACCACCCGUUGGGAGGAAUUAUGCCACAUAUCCUUCAUCUACAAAGGGGAUUGGUUAAUGGGUGGGGAUUUCAAUGAGGUUCUUAGAGCUAAUGAAAAGCUGGGGGAGGGGAUCCUAUCAAUAAUGCUAGAGUUGGCAAAUUCUGGGAUUGUCUUAACAACUGUAACAUGGUGGACCUAGGCUUUAGGGGAUGCAAAUACACCUGGACUAAUAAAAGGUUCCGCAAUAAAGCAACUCUUAUUCAGGAAAGAUUAGAUAGGUGUGUUGCUAAUGACUCCUAGAUAAACCUUCACCCUGAUUGCUUGGUCACCUAUCUUCCCAGGACUAAGUCUGAUCAUUGUCCCCUGCUAUUUUCCUUAACUAAUAGGUCCCAAAGUACCCACUGUAAACCCUUUAGGUUUUAACCUAUGUGGUUUAACCAUGACUCUUUUAGGAACUUAGUUAAGUAGUGUUUUAGUCAAAAUACCAACCAAUAACAAGCUGUUAGCACCUUCCAGGACCAUGCUACUCAGUGGAACCCGUAGGUGUUUGGUAACUUCUUUACUAAGUUGAAAAUUGUUAGAGCUAGACUAGAUGAUGUUAGAAAAAUCCGAUGCUUACCAUACAAGCAUCUUCCUCCACAACAUUGAAAAUGAGCUUUUGCAUGAAUAUGACUCCCUCCUGAAGUGUGAGGAGAAUUUUUGGAAGACCAAAUCUAGAAUCACCUGGCUCACAAAGGGUGAUGCAAAUACCUCUUUCUUCCAUGCAUCGACCCUCAAUGGAAGAAGGAGGAACAGAAUUAAUGAGUUGGUUGAUGAGGUUUGUAAUACCUUCAAAGGUAAGGAUAUCAUUACAGCCCAUGUGAUGCAAUAUUUCACCAACUUCUACACAACCAGCCAUGUUAGUUCUCCCAACUUUUACUUUAUUCCUACUUAUACUUCUAAUAUCAUCUCUCAAGAUAUGCAAAUAGCCUUAGUUGCACCACUUAGAGAUUCUGAGAUCCUUCUUGCUAUUAACUCCUUCAAACCCAUGAAAGCUCCUGGUCCUGAUGGACUAUACCCUCUCUUCUACCAGAAGUUUUGGACUGACAUUGGCUUAAAAAAACUUGCCUUCUGUAAGGAGGUCUUCCAGAACAGCAGGAUGCCUCCUGAUCAUAAUAGUACUCUGGUAUGCCUGAUACCUAAAUGUAGAAAUGCUUCUAGUCUAAAAAACUUUAGACCCAUUAGACAAGCUUGUUCUCCAAAGCAUUAUUAGCCCCACUCAAGCCAGCUUCCUGGCCCAUAGGAGAGUUGUUGAUCAUGCAAUCAUCAUUCAAGAAUACAUAUCCUACUUUUAAAAAAUGAAGGGUAAAAAGGCUAGCAGAUCCUGAAAGUGGAUCUUGAAAAAGCCUUUGAUAAAUUAGAGUGGUCCUUCAUAAAGGACACCUUGCUAUUUUUUGGCAUUCCUAACAACAUGGUCAAACUCAUCCUAUCCUGCAUUACCGCUUCUUCCAUUGCAAUUCUAGUAAAUAGCAGAAGAACAAAAAUUUUCAAGCCCUCUAGGGGAUUAGGCAGGGAGACUCCCUCUCCCCUACCUGUUCAUCAUAUGCCUUGAAAGACUUUUAAGAGGCAUUGAAGCUGAGGUUAGAGCCAAUAACUUGACUCUUAUUUCCAUCUCUCCCAAGGGUCUUAAACAUUCACAUCUCUUUUUGCUGAUGAUCUCACUUUUCUAGCAAGGGUAGACACCACAAACUACCAAAUUAUUGCUAGGAUUCUGCAAACCUUCUCUCUUCUCUUAGGCCAAACAAUCAAUAAUAAAACAUCCAAGGCCAUCUACUCUGCUAACUGUAUGCCUCGGGCUGUAGAUCAGUGUACCCAAGCUCUGAACAUCUAGCCUAGCCAAAGUUGUGGCAAAUACCUGGGCUAUCUCAUUUUUUCUAGUAAACCAAAGAAUAGUGAUUUUUAGUUCAUCAUUGAUAAUAUGAAUGUUAGGCUGGAAGACCAAAUUCUUAAACAUGGUUGGCAGAUCUGUAUUAGCCAAAUCUACCCUUAGUGCAAUGCCCACCCGUAUCAUGAACUACAUUAGAAUACCUAGUAAAGUUAUUGAGCUCAUCAACAAAAUCCAAAGAGAUUUCAUUUAGGGCAGCAGUAGUGAGAAAAAGAAGCUUCAUCUUCUUAACUGGGAGGUCCUAACCACUAACAAAAGAAUUGGGGGGUUGGGACUUCACAGAACUGAGCUCAGGAAUAGAGCUAUGCAUGCUAGUUUAGCAUGGAGGCUGUUCCAGCAGCCAACUAGUCUUUGGGGGCAAACCACCCUGGCUAAGUACUAUAAACUUAAUAGAAAGACUCCCCCAAACCCCCUACCUCUAGAACUUGGAAGAAUAUUAAGAGGAGUUAGAAAGAUUGUUGUUUGGGUAUCAGAUAGAGAGUAGAUAAGGGAAAUAGGGUCAAUUUUUAUAAUGAUUCUUGGAUCCCUCACAUGCACAGCCUUAGAAGCCAGAUUCAAGGCCCCCUAAACAAGCAGGAUCUCAGUACCUAAGUCCUAAGUCAAGGAUGUCUUGACAAAUGGAUGCUGGAACUUUAGUGAUCUCUCUUUUGAAAUUCCAAAAUCCAUUUAGGACAUCAUUCUUAGUCACCAUAUAACCUUGGAUGAAAAUGCUGAAGACAAAGCCUUAUGGAACUACAGUUCCACUGGCAACUUCACCACUGCAACCAUGUAUUCUUGUCUAUACAAUCAAAAUGCCAACCCUGUCAUAGACAAAACUUCUCUAUGGUCUGGAAAGCUGAUGUCCCUAACAAGACCAAAAUUUUCCUUUGGUUACUCAUGCAUGGAAGGCUACCCACCAACAACUUUCUAAAUCACAUUGGUAUCAAUGUUCCCUCCAAUGCCACUUCUUCGCAUAUACCAGUGAGGAUAUUAACCAUAUUUUCUUUCAAUGUCCUAAUGCCAAGCAAUUUUGGGCUAGAUUGAUCCUCAAGAGUAGUUAUAAACCACCUCUCCCUGGUGAUAUCAUUGAUGACUCAAAUUGACACACUUGGUGGGAAAAAAUAUGCUCCAAGCCCUUUACCUCAUGGCUCACCUGGGGCUCUCUCUUCCCAUACUGCCUAAGAGGAAUUUGGCUGACCAGGAAUGACAAUCUAUUCAACAAGAAUCAUAACUCCAUUAAUAGUGAGAAUGUCAUUGCCAAUGCCACUGAAUACGUCCUUCUUGCUAAAUCCAAAUCCAACAUAACUAACACCCACCACAUCAUUACUCCUAAGUGGAAUCCCCCAGUAAAGAGCCAUAAAACUAAACACUGAUAGCUCGACUAAAGGGAACCCAUGCCCGGAAUAAAACCCAUAAUGGCUGAAAUUCAGGCUAUCAUUGGGGUCUUCGUCUAGCCAAAGAAUAUCACAUCAUAGAUUUUGAUAUUGAACUAGACUCAAUGGCAGCUCUUGAAAUGCUUCACAAUGACCACACUUUGUAUCAUAAUCUUUUCAUUGAGUGCAGGACAUUGCUGACCGAGUUGGGAGCAACAACCCCAACACAGGUUUUUAGAGAGAAAAAUGCAGUGGCAGAUUGACUAGCUAAGGAAGGCACAGUCAUACAAUUCACAGAAAAGCCGAUCAUCACAUUUAUGCCACCUUCUUUUGUAUUAAGUUAUGUUUUAGAUGAUAGCUCUGGCAAAACAUUUAGCCGUUAAAUCAAACAUUGUAUUUUGGGUCACAAUGUGAUCAAUGCAAACUCUGCUUCGUACCCACAGGGCCGGGAUGUGGCUGGCCUUGACUAACAAUAUUUUGACUCUUUCUUCUGAAAGGAGUGCCAACCCACCCUCACCCCAUUAACAUGCUAUAAAACUAAUCCCUUCUUGACCAAGAAAAAAAUUACAACAUUCAUAAUUUUUUUGAUCUUGUAGAAGCAUUUCGAAUUCGUAAAUUAGAAUUUGGAGCCCGGACAAAUUUAGAUUCACGUUGGAAGUACUAUUUAUAUUGAUGAGAAAACGCUCUCUAACCAAAAGACGACCUCAUAAGCAGGGACGGAUCUACAGUGUCGAUCAGGUGACCCGCUACUGUAGAUCCUGUAAAUAUAUUAAAAAAUAGAAGAAGUCAAUAAAAUUUUAUAGAUGAUAACUCAUACACAAAUUGAAGUUGACUUGAUGACAUAGAAGGGACCCUUGAAUUGCUUGUGGUUUUCUGUUAACAUGGGAUCUAUCCCUGAUGGAGGUUGUUUUGAAUUGCUUAUGAUUUUCCACUAACAUGGGACCGAUCUCUGAUGGGGGUUGUCUUUUUUAUUAUUAGUACAUAGUAGCUUAUUUUAUCGAAAACCCACUAGUUUAAAAUCCUAGAUCCGCCUUUGCUCAUUAGGACUUGAUCAGAAACCCUGAUCAUAAAUUACUACUCCCCCCGUCUCAAUUUAUGUAGCAUACUUUUUUUUUUCGUCCGUUCAAAAAAGAAUGUCAUAUUUUCUUAUUUGGUAAUUAUGUAAUAGCAUCAUCCCCAUUUUAUCCUUACUGAGUCCUACUUAAUAAGAAAAAAAAAAUUAAAAAGUAAACAUUAAAGUGACUUGAGGGACAAUUUUGUAAACUUCACAAAGUGACCAUUUAUUUCUUAAACUUCAUGUCCGGUCAAAAGACAACACAUAAAAUAGAACGGAGAGAGUACUAUAUAUAUACAACAUGCAUUUCAUGUGUUAGCUAGCUUGUACUAGGUCUACCUAUCAGUCGGAUUGGUUGGAUAAUUAUGCUUAAUGAUUCGGCUUAUUGGCUACUAGCUUUUAAAAUGUACAAAUCCGCUAGCCACCCUAUAAGAUAACGGUUGGUUCGGUAUCAGAUUAGCAAUUGACGGACGAUUGUCAGGCGGUGUAAGAAUAAAUCUAAGAGACAAUGAAAUAUCGAGCGAUUAUUAGUCGUUUUUCCUCUGUUUCUUCACUAACUAAAUUAUGUGUAUACUGUGAUUGAUCUAUUUAUCAAUCUUUUACGCUUCUUGAAUUUUGUUCGUAUAGUUAUUUAAUAGGCUAAAACAUAGAAUCGAACAAAAAAUUUCUUCUUAUUGACCUAAAAUGUAUGUUGAAACAUUUUUGAUUACUGGUCGGCAGAAAAAUCAAAACUUUAAUAUUAUUUCAAUUUUUAUGUUUUAUUUCAAACUUUGUGAAGGACACAUUGGGGUUUUUUUCAUUUUUGUUGCAGUCCUUCGUGUUGUCUAGAAUAAUUUAUGUUUUGAUCUAAGAAUAAAUUUCAGAUUUUGUUUACGAUUUAGAGAUUCUGACUGCACUUUACGGUUAGAUGUCCCAAGAAGUGGCUCGCCAUUUUCUAAGCUAAAAAGUGAAUAUAACAAUAAAUAGAGUUUUAUAUGUUGGAUUUACAAAAUAUACUUGAUAUAUCUCUAGAGGUAAAAGAGGGCAGUUCGGUACACUAAAGCUACCGCUAUACGCAGUGUUCAGGGAAAGGCCCUACCACAAGGGUGUAUCGUACGCAGUCUUACCUUGCAUUUCUGCCAGAGGUUGUUUCCAAGAUCGUGACCUCUUGGUCACAUGGCAACAGCUUUACCAGUUACUCCAAGGUUCCGCUUCAAUAUAACUAGAGGUAAUAAUAAUAUAAUUGUAAUAAUUCUUAAUGGGUUAACGAUUUACUCGGUAAGAAAAUUUUGUAAUCCACCCCCACACCAAUAAGCCAUUAAUUAUAGAAUUUUAAUUCAUUUUUUAACUUUUAAUUUGAUAACACAUUAUAUACCAAUAAGUCAAUAAAUUAAUUUUACGAUUGGGUUGACGAUUACGGUUCGAUUUUGAACGCCCUAGCUUGUACGCAAAUACAUAGAUGCAUGCAAUGAAAUACAUAGUCAAUUAUUGCUUAAAGCUAUGACCAUAUAUUAUUUAUGCAAAAUAUCCUCUCUUUUUUUUUUAAUUCUUAAUUUCAUGUACUGCAAUCAUUUUUUUUUUCUUUUUGCUUUUUUGAGUCAUUACAUAUCACGGGAGUGAUGAUUACCAUAAAAAGAUAAAAAGAUCUUUCUACACACAUGAAUAAUUGAUAUGAGAACAAGACGUUUAAUUAUUUAUUUAAUUAAUAUUCUUGACGUUUUGUUGAUUUGAAGUGCAUAGUAUUUGAUCUUUCUAAAGCUAAUCCAAAAAUAUGUUAUGCAAAACCCUAAUAAUGUAGAUAUAAGUAAUGCAAGAAUUAUAAUAUAGAAAUUAACAAUGUAGUGAUAUUUUUUUCUUGUUGGAUAUUCUCAAGGAAAAAGAAAAAAUAAAUUUAAGGAGAGUGAGGGUAUUUUUUUUUUUUUUGUCAAUUUUUAUUUUAUCAUGUGACUAAUGUCCCUACAAGUUUAUUCCACAUUUGAAUUAAACCAUAUAAAAUAAUCGAGUACAUAAAUAAAUUCUCGCAUAUCUAAUGCAAGUAUUACUUUAUGUGAAAGACAAAAGGAAAAAUCAUACAAGAUACAUAAUCGUGUGGAGUUUAAGUAUGAUGAUAAACCUCUUUUUAUACCAAUAAUUAAUCGAGUGCUUUUAACAAUACUAAAUAUAUUUUCACCUUAAUUUGUUGAAUUAACAAUACUAAAUAUAUUUUCACCUUAAUUUGUUGAACAAUAUAGAGUCGAUUGUUAGUUUAUAACAAAUAGAAUUAAUAAACGUCAAAGAUAAUCAAAAAGCUAAGAGCGAUCUUUCUUAUGAUUAAUUCAUUGCUAAAUUAAUCCCAUCAUUGUUUUUUUAAAUUCAUUCCAAACCAAAAAAGUGAUAAGGCUAAAGUAAUUAUGAAGGGCUUGAAUAUAACAAUUUCUAAUUAGUGACAAUAUGAUUAGACAGCAUGAUUAUUCCAUUUAAGUCAAAAGUUAAUUUCUUUUCAAAACUUAUUUCACAUGGAAAAAUCUUUAAUUUUCCUUCCCUCGUUCAAUUUUUUUUUUCGUUUUCUCCCCAAACAACAAAAAUAAUAAAAGUUGUUCUACUUUAAUUUUGUUCAUUAACUUUGAUGAUUCACUAAAAAAUGUUGCCUAUAUAAUAAUAAUAAUAAUAAAAAAAAUCUUAUUAUUAUUAUUAUUUGUCUACUCUAUAUAUAUAGGAUGACAAAUAUCUUAAUUGACAAAAUACUUUAUUAAAUUGAUACAAAUUGACUAGGGAGGUUCACCAAGACUCUUAUAAUCACAAUCACUAAGAAGGCAUUAGAUUAGAUAGACAUUUGACUUGAAUUAAUAAUCAAACUUUAAAUAGGAAAGCAAGUUUACUAUUAAUUAAUUAUUCAAAAACAAACUAUAAAGUAAGGCCCGGCAUAGAGAUCAUGAAGAGAAAUUAAAACAUAAACUGUUUAAUUAAUUGAUUACUCAACUAGAACAUAAUUAAGCUAGUACUCAAAAAAAGGUACAACAUACUAUUUAAACUAUUUUUUUAAAAAAUGAAAUAAAUAAAAAAAUCUUACUAUUAUGAAGAUUAGUUUGAUCAUUUUACAUUUCAAUCAAUGUAUUAUCAAUAUCCAUAUUAUUAUUUUACUUUUAUUUUGUAUAAAAUAAUAAAUAAAUUCUUAAAUAAGUUAUACAUAUAUUAUUUAUACGGACAAGAAAAAGAACUUCCAAAUUUGGAAUCAAGUGAUUAUAUUAUAUUCUUCAUAAAUGUUUUCUUUUCCAUUGAUAAAGGUUUGUGGUGUCACUAUACAAAACUUUAAUAAUUAGGUUAUGAAAAGAUGGAAAACAAAUAUACGAUUAAUCAGCAUAUGAUUUAUUAUAAGACAUAUAUUCUAAUUUAAAAAAUGUUCAAAUAAAAAAAAAAACAACGGUGUUUAAAGUAGUUUUAUCUCUAAAAUAAUUCAUCAUGAGGCUUUGUCUCCCCUUUUUAUGAUAUUUUAGUCUCAUCAAUUGUACUAUUGUCAUUCAUGCAUGUCUAUAUUCACCUUUUCUAUAUUUACCUAAUAUUCCAACUUUAUUUUAUAUCGUGACUGUAACACCCUGAAUCUGGUACCCGGACGCUACACGGUGCUUAUGACUCCGAAGGACCACAAGCUAACUCAUAACUGAUAUCUGUAACUGAGAACUGAAUAAUAUACUGUAAAUAUGCGGAAUGUAAGAUGUAAGGCCAUAAGGUUCAAAACGGAACUAAUACUGAAUAUAAAAUAAUAUCUGUAAUGGGGUAUCACAAUACCUAAAAACUGAAAUAAACUGCCUGAAAUUUGCUGUAGUCUAAAAGCCUCUAAACUAUCUGAAAACUGGAGUUGAUGGGACAUGUCCCCAACUGACUCCGAACUACUGAAAUAAUAAAGUAAUAAAAUAAUCAUGCUAUCCUCGAAUGAUGAGGACUCACUGUUGGUCUGGCUACUGAACGUCUGAUCUACUAAGGAUGCUCGGGAGCUCGUGCUUCUAAACCUAUGGUAUUUGCAAAUGCGUCAGUACGAUUGAAUGUACUGGUAUGCAAGUGAGGUAGGCUAAAUGCAACGGUUCACAUGCAUGAACAAUACUAACUGACUGAAUAACAUGAACGUGAGAAUACAUGCAUGAAUACGUAACUGUAAUCGAGAUCGUGAUAACGCUGACUCAUGAAUUCUGAUAACGUGGAUUUACUUAUAUCUGAGUACUAAUACUGGGAUACUGAAUGACUGAGUCUAUUAAGUACUGAGAAACUGAUGUCAUAUUACAGAUAAAUGAAUGACUGUUUUUGACAGUUCUGAUUAUGAAGAACUGGUCUGAUUGACUGUAUUUGACAGUCCUGAAACUGAAUACUGAUAGCAUGAGUUUCGUAUAAUUAAUAUACUAUUAACUGGGUGACUAUGUCUGACAGUCCUGAUUCUGAUGGAACUAGCUGAAUUUCGUACGGAGCUGAGCGACUGUGUCUGACAGUCCUGAAAUCUGUAGAACUGAACUGAGUUCUAAUACUGGGACUAGAUCUAAAAUUGAGACUGUGGGAGGUAAUCAUCUAACCGACAUGCCCCGAAACUGAACUGGUGGGGUCCAACCUGUAACCCCAGCUGAAAGGGUGUCAGUACCGUGCCAGGGGUAAAGACAAGCUAUGAGUAAACAUAUAUAGUCUUUUUAUAUAUUUUGCAAUACCUCUUGUUCAAUCGUUCUAUACAUCCAAAACAUUUAUGUUAGUAUCCUAUUUAACAUCUAUUAUGUACAUAUAUAAAAAGAUAAUUUAAAUAAUAUAUAAACAAUGUAGUUUGUUGAAAGGGGUUCAGAUAAUGAUUAUGAGUAUUUAAGACAGGAUCAAGAAAUGUUAACCACCAUUGGGUUAAGUUCAGAAAUGACCAUAAAAUGGGUUGAUCUUGAUAUUUUGUUCGUCAUAAAAAAAAAAAGUCUUAUAGAAAUAACCUUUCUAAGGGGUAGCCUUGAUUUUUUGGCCCCGCUUAUUAAAUUUGGCCAUAAGUCAGAUUUGUAUGAUAUUUCAAGACAAUGAAUCUGCUCAAUCGAUUAGAAGUAUUGCCUUAUAGUUAGAAGUUAGAACUUAUAUAAGCUGCCUAUAAUAUAGAAGUAGGGGUGCACAGACCAAACCGUAGAGUCAAACCAAACCGAAGAACCAAAUUAAACCGAGAAAAAAAAACCUACUUAUAGUUUGGUUUGGUUGGUUUAACAUUUGAAAAAAAAAACGACCAUUCUUGGUUUGGUUUGGUGUUAACCCAAAAAAAGUCAAACCGAACUCAAAUCAAAUAUAUAUAAAAGUAGGUGUGUGUGUAUAUGUGUAUAUAUAUAUAUAUAUAUAUAUUCAUAUUUGGGCCUUUAAGUUGUAGUAAUAUUUAUCCAUUAAUUGCUAAUAAAAUGAUCCAAAAUUCAAUAUAAACUUAAAACCUAAACUUUUCACUCUUCAUCUUAUUUUUAGUUUCAAGAGUAUUUUUCGCUCCUCAAUUUUUCAUAAUUGUGAUUUUUCAUUAGCACAUGAAUGAAAACAUACUUGAUCUAAACUUCAAUCACAAUAUAAUUGUAAAAAAUAAAGAUUAUAAAAAAAAUUGAGAAAAAUCAAAAGAAGCGACUAAAACCUAACCGAAAAAAUCGAUUUUAUGUUGGUUUGAUUUGGUUUAUAGUUUUAAUAAACCGACAUAAUUGGUAUGUUUUUUUUUUCAAUAGAAAACCAAACUAACCCGACCUAUGUACACCCCUAUAUAGAAGUUCUAACUUUUGAAUAGAAGGUAAACAUUUAUGACAUUUCAAGACAACAAAUCUGCACUAUUGACCAGAAGUUUUGCCUAAUAACCAAACGUUAGAACUAUAUAUGUUGCCUAUAAUGUUAGACGUUCUAACUUUCGCCAAUAAGGUAACCGAUUAUGGCAUUUCAAGACAACGAAUCUGUUUUAUUGACCAAAAGUUUUGCCUUAUAGGCAGAACUUAGAACUUAUAUACGUUGCCUAUAAGGUAGACGUUCCAACUUUAACCCAUAAAGUAACCGUUUAUGAUAUUUCAAGACAAUGAACCUGCACUAUUGAUCAAAAGUUUUGCUUUAUAGGCAGAAGUUAGAACUUAUAUAUGUUGCCUAUAAUGUUAGAUGUUCUCUCGCCCAUAAGGUACCGUUUAUGACAUUUCAAAACAAUAAACCUAUACUAUUGACCAAAAGUUUUGCCUUAUAGAUAGAAGUUAGAACUUAUAUAUGCUGCCUAUAAAUUAGACGUUCUAACUUUGUUCAUAAGGUAACCAUUUAUGAUAUUUCAAGACAAUGAAACUAUACUAUUGACCAGAAAUUUUGCCUCGUAGACAGAAGUUAGAACUUAUAUAUGUUGCUUAUAAUGUAGACAUUUUAACUUUGGUCCAUAAAAUAACCUGCAUUAUUGAGUAGAAGUUUUGUCUUAUAAGCAAAAGUCAAAGCUUAUUUAGCAACAACAACAGUAACAUACCCAGUAUAUCUCCACAUAGCGAGAUCUGUGGGGAGGAUAGAGUGUACGCAGAUCAUACCACUACCUCAAGUGAAGUAGAGAGGCUGUUUUUAAUAGACCCCGACUUAGAACCGAUAAUAGUAUAACAAACACAAAAGAUAGGUGUAAAAUAAACUAACACCACUAACAACAAGAUAAUACUACAACCACAAGAUAAUAAUAAGAACUAUCUAAUUGAAAUCAUAGACAUCACACAGCACCACAAACAAGAAACUACAGACACAGAAGAACGCUCCCUUGUUGUUACCGACGCACUCCCACUCCCUAACCCUCUAUCGUAAUCUACAUCCUCCACAUCUUUCUAUGAAGGAUCAUGUCCUCCGUAAGUUAUAACUGCUCCACACAUUUUGGUGGACCAUAAAAAUCCAAGACCGGACAUAAGGGGUCGUUUGAUUGAGAAAUAGUUAUUCCAAAACAAUUAAUUUCGAGAUUAGUUAUUCCAAAAUUACCUAAGUUAAGUUAUCUUCAUAUUGACUAAUAAUUCCAGCCAAACGUGUAAUAAUUCAUUUUAUCCCAAACUACUUAUCCCUUAUAUGUCUCAGCAAACGACCCCUUAAAAAGGGAAACAAAACCCAAUAAACCUUAAACCUCAAAAUCAUCAUCUUCCUUUAUCCUUAAAACCUAAUUCUACUCCUUCUCAAAGAAUUCAAAAAAUCAAGAAUCAAUGGAAUUUCAAAAGAGAAAGUUAGCAACUUUAUCAUCA